CCCCGGGCCACACGCGAGCUGCAAUGGCAGGUACAAUGGGUUCCAACCCCGAAAGGGGGAGGCAAUCCUUAAAGCCUGCCGUAGUUGGGAUCGAGGGCUGAAACCCGCCCUCGUGAACAUGGAAUCCCUAGUAAUCGCGUGUCACUAUCGCGCGGUGAAUACGUCCCUGCUCCUUGCACACACCGCCCGUCGUUCCACCCGAGCGAUGCUUGGGUGAGGCGUGGUCCCUAGUGGCUGCGUCGAAUCCAGGUUUCGUGAGGGGGGAAAAGUCGUAACAAGGUGGCCGUAGGGGAACCUGCGGCCGGAUCACCUCCU
This 315-nucleotide ribosomal RNA is filed under the name Candidatus Bathyarchaeota archaeon. RNAcentral's name for it is "bacterial SSU rRNA". It matches the Rfam family "Archaeal small subunit ribosomal RNA", at positions 1163 to 1478 of the family's 1478-position model. Lineage: Archaea; Thermoproteati; Candidatus Bathyarchaeota. The record is from RNAcentral.